CUGUGGAUAAGAGCGUCUGCUAAAUGACUUAAAUGUAAAAAAUGUAAAUGUAAUAUACACAUUAUGACAUAAUAAAGAGCUUAAUCUUUCACGAAAUAAAGACAUAGAAGCAUACCCAAUUAUACAGGUUCUACACAUUCCAUUUCUCCAUGGCAAUAGAAUGUAAACAUUCUAUUUUGCACCAAACAUCGCCUACAAUCUAUUCUAAGUGCAGCAUAUUGGACGACAACACAGUCAUUGAUCAUUUGCAACUUUAAGUCAUUCCUGUUAUCUCUAGAGCAUCCCGUAUAUCUAUAGCGCGGCAUUUCUUCCCCAUCUUUCCAUGGAUAGGGUUUGGUGCAUUCCGGAGUUCACUUAUGGUCCCACAAAGGUAAUCUUAGGAGAAAUUAAUUUUAGCAUAGUGUAAAUGCCUGAGCAUAAUGUGCAUAACAAAGCAUAAUUAUUUUCAUUAUCUUCAAAGGAAUUCUGUAGAAGCAGCCUUUAUUUUCAGACUCUGCAGGCCUGCUGGGAGGAAACAUAUUACAAUAAACAGAAGAAGGUCAUGGUCCAUUAUCUGCUGCUCCAGAGUCAAGGCCAGGUCCCGCCCCAUGUCACCACGGAGCACAUGAGCAACUGGCUGGUGUCUCAGGGCAAAAAAUCCUUUAGGGAGAGGGUGUGGAAGGAAACCCUGGAGGAGGGAAACGACCUCGCUCGGCUGGCCUGGGAAGUAAACACUUGCCUAAAAAUGAUGGACAUAGAGCACGAGGCUUUCUGCAAGCUCCGCCGCUCCAUGCACUCCACCUCGCCAGCUGACAUCGAUCCUAAAGUCCACAGCAUCGUGGAGAGAGCUGUGAGGAGCAUUCUGGGCGUGCAGUCCAAUGAGCCCCGUAGCAACCUGCUCAGCCCAUCUCAGGUGGUCGUGGAGGUGGUGCCCAGGCUCCUCCUGGCCCUGUGGCUUCAGCCAGAGGAAGGCCAUUCAGAGCACCCAAUCCUAAUAAGCGGGAUGGCCGUGGGCAUGGUGGCGGCCGUAGUGGAGAAGCUCUCCUGCAUGUUAAAGGACCCUUCACAUCACAUCCCUUUCUCUCGGGCUGCUGCUUUUGACUCUGUGCGGUCGAUCCUCGGGAGAAUCAGUCAGUCCUUCUCCACCGAUGACCUCCAGAGCCCUUUUUAUAUGAGCUCUGUCUGUGCCUUUGUGGCGAACGAGGUUCAGAGCCGCUUCCAGCCCCCUGCAGCCACCCUACCAGUCCCCCCUGUCCUCCCGGUGGCCGUC
Molecule: long non-coding RNA, 1249 nt
Filed under: Salmo salar (Atlantic salmon)
Lineage: Eukaryota; Metazoa; Chordata; Actinopteri; Salmoniformes; Salmonidae
Description: lncRNA (ENSSSAG00000111583.1)
Source: RNAcentral